UACCAGCACCCCGAGUGGUCGGGACGUUUAUUGGGCCUAAAGCAUCCGUAGCCGGUUCUACAAGUCUUCCGUUAAAUCCACCUGCUCAACAGAUGGGCUGCGGAAGAUACUAUGGAGCUAGGAGGCGGGAGAGGCAAGCGGUACUCGAUGGGUAGGGGUAAAAUCCGUUGAUCCAUGGAGGACCACCAAAAAAGGCGAAGGCAGCCAACUAUUCUAUUCCUGACACUGAGGCAUGAAAGCGUGGGGAGCAAACCGG
Molecule: ribosomal RNA, 256 nt
Filed under: uncultured bacterium
Lineage: Bacteria
Description: partial 16S ribosomal RNA
Rfam family: Archaeal small subunit ribosomal RNA
Source: RNAcentral